Molecule: transfer RNA, 58 nt
Filed under: Salmo salar (Atlantic salmon)
Lineage: Eukaryota; Metazoa; Chordata; Actinopteri; Salmoniformes; Salmonidae
Rfam family: tRNA
About the family: Transfer RNA (tRNA) molecules are approximately 80 nucleotides in length. Their secondary structure includes four short double-helical elements and three loops (D, anti-codon, and T loops). Further hydrogen bonds mediate the characteristic L-shaped molecular structure. tRNAs have two regions of fundamental functional importance: the anti-codon, which is responsible for specific mRNA codon recognition, and the 3' end, to which the tRNAs corresponding amino acid is attached (by aminoacyl-tRNA synthetases). tRNAs cope with the degeneracy of the genetic code in two manners: having more than one tRNA (with a specific anti-codon) for a particular amino acid; and 'wobble' base-pairing, i.e. permitting non-standard base-pairing at the 3rd anti-codon position.
Source: Rfam by way of RNAcentral
UAGCUCAGUUGGAAGAGCAUGGUGUUUGCAAUGCCAGGGUUGUGGGUUCGAUUCCCAC